Molecule: unclassified non-coding RNA, 401 nt
Filed under: soil metagenome
Description: partial contains 5.8S ribosomal RNA, internal transcribed spacer 2, and large subunit ribosomal RNA
Rfam family: 5.8S ribosomal RNA (bases 1-121)
Source: RNAcentral
GAUGAAGAACGCAGCGAAAUGCGAUAAGUAAUGUGAAUUGCAGAAUUCAGUGAAUCAUCGAAUCUUUGAACGCACCUUGCGCCCCUUGGUUAUUCCAAAGGGCAUGCCUGUUUCAGUAUCAUGAACACCUCAACUCUUGUGGUUUCCCACAAUGAGCUUGGACUGUGGAGGUUUUGUUGGCCCUGUGGUCAGCUCCUCUCAAAUGGAUCAGCUUACCGGUGUUUGGUGGCAUUACGGGUGUGAUAACUAUCUACGCUCGUGGUCGUCUCCAAAUAACCUCCAGUGAUGGAGGUUCGCUGGAGCUUAUAAAUGUCUCUCCCCAGUGAAGACAGCCUUUGAACGUUCGAUCUCAAAUCAGGUAGGACUACCCGCUGAACUUAAGCAUAUCAAUAAGCGGAGGA